This 3142-nucleotide long non-coding RNA is filed under the name Mus musculus (house mouse). Its description in RNAcentral is "long non-coding RNA chr12:83678130-83681272". Lineage: Eukaryota; Metazoa; Chordata; Mammalia; Rodentia; Muridae. The record is from RNAcentral.
ACAACCAUCUGUAAUGAGAUCUGAUGCCCUCUUCUGGGGUGUCUGAAGACAGCUACAGUGUACUUACAUAAAUAAAUAAAUCUUUAAAGAAAAAAAGAUUUAUAAUUACCAAGUAUCAAUUGAUAAGAUGUUUUAAGAUAGGUCUCAGUCUUAGUCCAGGCUAGCUUAGAGCUCAAAACAGAUCUGAGCCUCCUGGGAUUGCAAGCAUAUGCCCCAAUUGUUUCUGGAGACGUGAAACAUUUAAAAGUUUAUCUUGAUUUCUUUCUCUUAACCAUUUUGAUCUCCCUCCCCCCUUUAUUUAUAAAGAUUAAAGCAUAUAUUUCUAUUAUAUGCUUGGUAACACUAAGUACUGAUAAAUGCAGUGGGCCUAUACAAAACUGGGAAGUGGAUACACAGAUACUGAAACCGUACUGUGCUUGCUAUUAAGGAGUGUGCUGUCACUGCGGAGGAGUGUGACAUCUACUGGUUGUUAGUCAUUGAAGGAAAUACAUGAUAGGGAUUCCUCUGAGACAUUCACAUUGCAAAAGUAUUUGGGGGGCAACCGUGCUAAAAAAUCAAAUUCCUAAUUGCAUUUGAUUUUUAUAUUAUUGUCUGUGUGAUUACUUUUUUUAAAAAUUUAUUCAUUAUAUGUAAGUACACUGUAGCUGUCCUUAGAUACUCCAGAAGAGGGCAUCAGAUUUCACUUUGGAUCAUUGUGAGCCACCAUGUGGUUGCUGGGAUUUGAACUAUGGACCUUCGGAAGAGCAGUCGGCGCUCUUAACCACUGAGCCAUCUCGCCAGCCCUAUGUGAUUACUUUUAUUUAACAUUGUGAUUUCAUAAGCAGAGGGAGAGAAGGAGUUUGCAUUUUAAAUAAGAAAAUUGUUACAUGAAACACAAGGAUAAUUAUGAAGAAAAGAAAUUUGAGUAGAAUUAGUCAUUGGAGUGAAUUAAGGACUGGUAAGCCAAUGAAGUUGUUUGGGAUUAGUUCGAGUUAAGCAACUGGAAAAAGGUUAUUAACAGAAAAACAGUAGAAAUGAGCAUGGAAUUGCACACCUUUGUCCCAGAAUUUAGGAAUCAGAGGCAGAGUUCUACUUAGCGAGACCCUGUCUCAGGGGGAAAAAAAAAAACCAUAACACAAAAUUAGUUUGUUAGCCCAAAUGAUAGCCAGUAUAUAUCAUAGCCUUGGAAAUUCUGAAGAUCAUUGAGACAAGGAGUGGAGAAAAAUACUGGGGCUAGGUGUCAAUACUGUGACAUAUAUGUUUUCUUUUUUCUUUUAAUUACUCAUUUUAUGUAGAUGAGUACAUGGUAAACUGUCUUCAGACACAUUAGAAGAGGGCAUUAGAUCCCAUUAUAGAGGGUUGUGAGCCACCAUGUGGUUGCUAGGAAUUGAACUCAGGACCUCUGGAAGAGCAGUCAGUGCUCUUAACUGCUGAGGCAUCUCUCUAGCCCCAGCAUAUGUGUUCUUACCCCAAACAAAUAAACAUGUAAUUUUUAAAAAUUGCUUUUUAUAAAAAGCUUUUAUAGGCGUAUGUGUCAUUAACUUCUUUGGUCAAAUAUGACGCUUUGUAACCAACAUAGUAGACGUGUCCUUGAGCAGAGGUGUAUGUACCCUUUGUAUAGACCCGGGAGCCCCAGAGGAAACCUAUAAAAGUUAAAGUCCUUGUUCAUAUAAUAGCGUUCUCUAAGUGCUUACUGCUUAAGCAUGAGUUCUAUGCCCCAAACCUACUGAAAAUGAUGAGUGUGGUGGUAUGCUCUUCCAGUCCCAGCAUUAGGGAGAUGGAGAAAGGCGAGCUUGCUGCCUACCCUUUUCUAAUCGGUACGUGUCCCCAUCUCCAUCUCUGUCCUAGAAAGAGACCUUGUCUGGAAAAGCAAGGUAGACAGCACGUUGGAUGACAACUCAUGUUGACUUCUGUCCUCCAUGAACACACACAUGCACACACACACAAAUACACAGUAGGUACACAUACAUCAGCAUUCCAAAAGCUGAUAGAUCAGUGAUUAAGAGUACUUAAUGCUCAAUCAUGAUAGGAAAAUAAUCUAGUUUAUUCAUUCGACAGGAGAGAAAGAUAAAUUUGUUCAGUGUCUUUGUACUUGUGACAGUGGUGUUCACUCAGUACUGUUUACUGCCUCUAAACACUGUAGUCAAUUCUCAUGUAAUGCUUAAUUCACUAUCACAUGAUCAGCAUUUGUUGACUGUAAGGUAAGAUGAUAGCUAAGUCUGGUUUGGACUAAAUAAAGUGUCUAAAGCACAUAGUUUUUGGGCUGGAGAGAUGGCUGAGACGUUAAGAGCUCUGACUGCUCUUCCAAAGGUCCUGAGUUAAAUUUCCAGCAUUCAAUCACAUGGUGGCUCACAACCAUCUGUAAUGGAAUCUGAUGCUCUCUUCUGAUGUGUCUGAGGACAGCUACAGUGUACUUAUAUGCAUAACAUAAAUCUUUUAAAAAGGUAGUUGUAUAUUUAAUUUCUUCAUAAAUAUCUUCUGGUUUGUUUGUUUUAGUUUUUUGAGAGUUUCUCUGGCUGUCCUGAAACAUACCAUAGACCAGGCUGACCUCAAAAAGAUCUGCCUGGCUCUGCCUCCCAAGUACUGCGUCUGGGUAUACAGGCAUGAGCCACCACUUUCUUGUAAACAUCUUUUUUUUCUCUUUCUUCUUUCUUCUUUCUUCUUUCUUCUUUCUUCUUCCUUCUUCCUUCUUCCUUCUUUCUUCUUCUUUCUUCUUCCUUCUUCUUUCUUCUUUCUUCUUCUUCUUCUGAUUUAUUAUAUGUUAGUACACUGUAGCUGUCUUCAGACACCCCAGAAGAAGGCGUCAGAUCUUGUUACGGAUGGCUGUGAGCCCUGUGGUUGCUGUGAUUUGAACUCAGGACCUUUGGAAGUGUAGUCAGUGCUCUUAACUGCUGAGCCAUCUCACCAGCCUGAGCCACCACUUUCUGUGUCCUCUAAAUUCAGUAUAGUAAGCUUUUGCUUUACCUAUAAAGUGGUUUGGCUAAAUAUGUAUAAACAUAAUGUCUAUAAAACUAACAUCAAAAUAAAAAGUUGUAUUCAAAUAAUGUGGAGUCAGGAUUUGUGGCACAGUCUUGCCUAUAAGGUGGGAGCAGGAACUUUUGGUCAUCUCACUUUCAUUUAAGUGUACGUCAUGCCUGGGCCGUGUGUCUCAAAAUCACAUCAG